Molecule: ribosomal RNA, 515 nt
Filed under: uncultured bacterium
Lineage: Bacteria
Description: partial 16S ribosomal RNA
Rfam family: Bacterial small subunit ribosomal RNA
Source: RNAcentral
GAUGAACGCUGGCGGCGUGCCUAAUACAUGCAAGUCGAGCGAAUGGAUUAAGAGCUUGCUCUUAUGAAGUUAGCGGCGGACGGGUGAGUAACACGUGGGUAACCUGCCCAUAAGACUGGGAUAACUCCGGAAAACCGGGGCUAAUACCGGAUAACAUUUUGAACCGCAUGGUUCGAAAUUGAAAGGCGGCUUCGGCUGUCAAUUAUGGAUGGACCCGCGUCGCAUUAGCUAGUUGGUGAGGUAACGGCUCACCAAGGCAACGAUGCGUAGCCGACCUGAGAGGGUGAUCGGCCACACUGGGACUGAGACACGGCCCAGACUCCUACGGGAGGCAGCAGUAGGGAAUCUUCCGCAAUGGACGAAAGUCUGACGGAGCAACGCCGCGUGAGUGAUGAAGGCUUUCGGGUCGUAAAACUCUGUUGUUAGGGAAGAACAAGUGCUAGUUGAAUAAGCUGGCACCUUGACGGUACCUAACCAGAAAGCCACGGCUAACUACGUGCCAGCAGCCGCAGUAA